Molecule: ribosomal RNA, 499 nt
Filed under: Siphula decumbens
Lineage: Eukaryota; Fungi; Ascomycota; Lecanoromycetes; Pertusariales; Icmadophilaceae
Description: LSU rRNA
Rfam family: Eukaryotic large subunit ribosomal RNA
Source: RNAcentral
UUUGAAAUCUCGACUUCGGUCCGAGUUGUAAUUUGUAGAGGGUAUUUGGAAAGCGAUGUCGGCCUAAGUCCCUUGGAACAGGGCGUCAUAGAGGGUGAGAAUCCCGUAUGUGGCCAUGCGUCAAUUUCAUGUCAAAUCUCUUCGACGAGUCGAGUUGUUUGGGAAUGCAGCUCAAAAUGGGUGGUAAAUUUCAUCUAAAGCUAAAUACCGGCCAGAGACCGAUAGCGCACAAGUAGAGUGAUCGAAAGAUGAAAAGCACUUUGGAAAGAGAGUUAAACAGUACGUGAAAUUGUUGAAAGGGAAGCGCUUGCCAUUAGACCGAUCUUCAGGCAGCAGUUUAGAGGCAACUCUGGAUGUAAAGCACCUGUUCUUCGGCCAGCAUCGGUUUAGGUGGUUUGACAAAACCGUAAGAACGUAGCUCCUCGGAGUGUUAUAGCUUAUGGUAUAAUGAAGCCUACCUGGACCGAGGACCGCGCUUCGGCUAGGAUGCUGGCGUAAU